AUUGAACGCUGGCGGCAUGCCUUACACAUGCAAGUCGAACGGCAGCACGGACUUCGGUCUGGUGGCGAGUGGCGAACGGGUGAGUAAUAUAUCGGAACAUACCUUGUAGUGGGGGAUAACUAUCCGAAAGGAUAGCUAAUACCGCAUACGAUCUAAGGAGGAAAGCGGGGGAUCGUAAGACCUCGUGCUAUAAGAGUGGCCGAUAUCUGAUUAGCUACUUGGUGAGGUGAAGGCUCACCAAGGCGACGAUCAGUAGCUGGUCUGAGAGGACGACCAGCCACACUGGAACUGAGACACGGUCCAGACUCCUACGGGAGGCAGCAGUGGGGAAUUUUGGACAAUGGGGGCAACCCUGAUCCAGCAAUGCCGCGUGAGUGAAGAAGGCCUUCGGGUUGUAAAGCUCUUUUGUCAGGGAAGAAACGGUUGUGGCUAAUAUCCAUGGCUAAUGACGGUACCUGAAGAAUAAGCACCGGCUAACUACGUGCCAGCAGCCGCCGUAA
RNAcentral lists this ribosomal RNA (500 nucleotides) under uncultured bacterium. Its description in RNAcentral is "partial 16S ribosomal RNA". It matches the Rfam family "Bacterial small subunit ribosomal RNA", at positions 30 to 523 of the family's 1533-position model. The record is from RNAcentral.